GACGAACGCUGGCGGCGUGCUUAACACAUGCAAGUCGAACGGAAAGGCCCUGCUUUUGUGGGGUGCUCGAGUGGCGAACGGGUGAGUAACACGUGAGUAACCUGCCCUUGACUUUGGGAUAACUUCAGGAAACUGGGGCUAAUACCGGAUAGGAGCUCCUGCUGCAUGGUGGGGGUUGGAAAGUUUCGGCGGUUGGGGAUGGACUCGCGGCUUAUCAGCUUGUUGGUGGGGUAGUGGCUUACCAAGGCUUUGACGGGUAGCCGGCCUGAGAGGGUGACCGGCCACAUUGGGACUGAGAUACGGCCCAGACUCCUACGGGAGGCAGCAGUGGGGAAUAUUGCACAAUGGGCGGAAGCCUGAUGCAGCAACGCCGCGUGCGGGAUGACGGCCUUCGGGUUGUAAACCGCUUUCGCCUGUGACGAAGCGUGAGUGACGGUAAUGGGUAAAGAAGCACCGGCUAACUACGUGCCAGCAGCCGCGGUGAUACGUAGGGUGCGAGCGUUGUCCGGAUUUAUUGGGCGUAAAGGGCUCGUAGGUGGUUGAUCGCGUCGGAAGUGUAAUCUUGGGGCUUAACCCUGAGCGUGCUUUCGAUACGGGUUGACUUGAGGAAGGUAGGGGAGAAUGGAAUUCCUGGUGGAGCGGUGGAAUGCGCAGAUAUCAGGAGGAACACCAGUGGCGAAGGCGGUCCUCUGGGCCUUUCCUGACGCUGAGGAGCGAAAGCGUGGGGAGCGAACAGGCUUAGAUACCCUGGUAGUCCACGCUGUAAACGGUGGGUACUAGGUGUGGGGUCCAUUCCACGGGUUCCGUGCCGUAGCUAACGCUUUAAGUACCCCGCCUGGGGAGUACGGCCGCAAGGCUAAAACUCAAAGGAAUUGACGGGGCCCCGCACAAGCGGCGGAGCAUGCGGAUUAAUUCGAUGCAACGCGUAGAACCUUACCUGGGUUUGACAUGGAUCGGGAGCGCCCAGAGAUGGGUGUGCCUCUUUUGGGGUCGGUUCACAGGUGGUGCAUGGCUGUCGUCAGCUCGUGUCGUGAGAUGUUGGGUUAAGUCCCGCAACGAGCGCAACCCUUGUUCACUGUUGCCAGCACGUUAUGGUGGGGACUCAGUGGAGACCGCCGGGGUCAACUCGGAGGAAGGUGGGGAUGACGUCAAGUCAUCAUGCCCCUUAUGUCCAGGGCUUCACGCAUGCUACAAUGGCUGGUACAGAGAGUGGCGAGCCUGUGAGGGUGAGCGAAUCUCGGAAAGCCGGUCUCAGUUCGGAUUGGGGUCUGCAACUCGACCUCAUGAAGUCGGAGUCGCUAGUAAUCGCAGAUCAGCAACGCUGCGGUGAAUACGUUCCCGGGGCU
Molecule: ribosomal RNA, 1346 nt
Filed under: uncultured bacterium
Lineage: Bacteria
Description: bacterial SSU rRNA
Rfam family: Bacterial small subunit ribosomal RNA
Source: RNAcentral